UACGGAGGAUCCGAGCGUUAUCCGGAUUUAUUGGGUUUAAAGGGAGCGUAGGCGGACGCUUAAGUCAGCUGUGAAAGUUUGGGGCUCAACCUUAAAAUUGCAGUUGAUACUGGUUUCCUUGAGUACGGUACAGGUGGGCGGAAUUCGUGGUGUAGCGGUGGAAUGCUUAGAUAUCACGAAGAACUACGAUCGCGAAGGCAGCUCACCGGGCCGGAACUGACACUGAUGCUCGAAAGUGCGGGUAUCAAACAGGAUUAGAUACCCUGGUAGUCCGCACAGUAAACGAUGAAUACUCGCUGUUUGCGAUACACUGUAAGCGGCCAAGCGAAAGCGUUAAGUAUUCCACCUGGGGAGUACGCCGGCAACGGUGAAACUCAAAUGAAUUGGCGGGG
Molecule: ribosomal RNA, 392 nt
Filed under: uncultured bacterium
Lineage: Bacteria
Description: partial 16S ribosomal RNA
Rfam family: Bacterial small subunit ribosomal RNA
Source: RNAcentral